GUCUUCUUCCAAAGAAGAGCCUUUGGUAUUUGGCAGAGCCUCGCCAAUUUGGGGCGCACCUCCCCUUCCUGGGAUGCUCUCAGAAGGCAAACCAAUUCCCAGAAGAGAGGGAAAAACAGCCACAACAGAGAGAACCUUUGCUGUCCCUGUUUGGAAAGAGAUUGGGAUUUCCUGGAGAGGGCUUGCUUCUACUGCAGGUUUGUUUAAAAGCUCAACAUCUAUUCUGGAAGAGAACAACGCAGACUCCAGGAAGAUGGCGUGUCAUUUUGGAAUGUGUCUUGCUGCUCUUCUCAUCAAAGGUAAAGUCCUCUUCUUCACCUUUUAACCUAGAGUAGCUGUGCAACUUUCUUUGACCAAUCAAAUAUGGUGGAAGUGAUGUUGCGUGACUUCCAGAUAUAAGUCUUAAAGAGAUUUUUCACUUUCUGCUUUCACUCUCUUGGAAUGUUGCCCUGAGAUCACCACACCAUGAAGAAGUCUGGGGCGAAAGGCCAUGUGGAGUGAGAGGCUCAGCUUCCCAGAUGAUCUCACUGAGCACAGCCCCCAGCCACCUGCCAGCUCAAUGCAACCUGGUGAUGGACCCAAGCAAAUACCAGCAGAAGAAUCACCUGGUCAACCCACAGAAUCAUGAGAAAUACUAAUUUGUUGUUGUCUUAAGCCACAGGGUGAAGACUAUAUUUGCUCACAUAAAUUGUGUCCUUAUAACAGAAAAAGCUUCUUAGGGCUGGUGCGGUGGCUUAUUCCUGUAAUCCCAGCACUUUGGGAGGCGGACGCAAGCAGAUCACUUGAGUUCAGGAGUUCUAGACCAG
This 806-nucleotide long non-coding RNA is filed under the name Homo sapiens (human). Its description in RNAcentral is "non-protein coding lnc-CSRNP3-9:3". Lineage: Eukaryota; Metazoa; Chordata; Mammalia; Primates; Hominidae. The record is from RNAcentral.